GAUGAACGCUGGCGGCGUGCCUAAUACAUGCAAGUCGAGCGAACGGACGAGAAGCUUGCUUCUCUGAUGUUAGCGGCGGACGGGUGAGUAACACGUGGAUAACCUACCUAUAAGACUGGGAUAACUUCGGGAAACCGGAGCUAAUACCGGAUAAUAUUUUGAACCGCAUGGUUCAAAAGUGAAAGACGGUCUUGCUGUCACUUAUAGAUGGAUCCGCGCUGCAUUAGCUAGUUGGUAAGGUAACGGCUUACCAAGGCAACGAUGCAUAGCCGACCUGAGAGGGUGAUCGGCCACACUGGAACUGAGACACGGUCCAGACUCCUACGGGAGGCAGCAGUAGGGAAUCUUCCGCAAUGGGCGAAAGCCUGACGGAGCAACGCCGCGUGAGUGAUAAAGGUCCUCGGAUCGUAAAACUCUGUUAUUAGGGAAGAACAUAUGUGUAAGUAACUGUGCACAUCUUGACGGUACCUAAUCAGAAAGCCACGGCUAACUACGUG
RNAcentral lists this ribosomal RNA (497 nucleotides) under uncultured bacterium. Its description in RNAcentral is "partial 16S ribosomal RNA". It matches the Rfam family "Bacterial small subunit ribosomal RNA", at positions 28 to 507 of the family's 1533-position model. The record is from RNAcentral.